Molecule: long non-coding RNA, 699 nt
Filed under: Danio rerio (zebrafish)
Lineage: Eukaryota; Metazoa; Chordata; Actinopteri; Cypriniformes; Danionidae
Description: lncRNA si:dkey-53f14.4 (ENSDARG00000095508.3)
Source: RNAcentral
AGCACGACUGACUGAAGUUUUAAAAUCAUGCAACGUCAUAAAGCAGCAGCUGGGCCUGAUUCUCACAAAACCAAAACAGACGUGAUGAAAUUCCAGAUGUAAACACAUUUGACCUUCCUUUGGCCAAUUUGAUUUGGAAAAGCUUGAAAAUCAACUAAAGGAGCAGCCUGAACAAAUAAACUGAUGGAGUGAGGACAAAUGUCCAUACCACGCCACUGAUAAAGAAGUGGAAAAAUGCAUUACAAGGUAGCUACAACUUGCCCCUGACAGGGAUGGAGGAAGAAAGAAGAGAAAGCUAAUGUGUCAAAUGUCUACAUCACUAUUUUGUUUUAUUUUUUAAACAACAUUUUAAGUGUAUUAGGAUGUUCCCUGAUACUUGAACAAUUUGUUUCUUUCAUUUGCAUUUAUAUAUAUAUAUAUAUAUAUAUAUAUAUAUAUAUAUAUAUAUAUAUAUAUAUAUAUAUAUAUAUAUGUAUGUAUGUAUGUGUGUGCGCCAAAUUCUGAAGAAACAUCUUGAUACAUUUUUAAUAAACGUAAUACAAAUAAAAUUAUAAAUAUAAAAUUGCACAAGACGUGUAUAUAUAUGAAAUGUAUAAUCAUCUCACUCAUGUCUUGCUGUUUGUGCAAUUGAUUUUGUUCAAGUUUAUUUAAAAAUAAGUUUGACUUUAUACUUCUGCAAUUAUUUAUAUAUAUAUAUAU